This is a long non-coding RNA of Lactuca sativa (garden lettuce), 1027 nucleotides long. RefSeq lists it as uncharacterized. The record is from RefSeq and is a predicted model, not a curated record. NCBI's taxonomy places the organism in Eukaryota, Viridiplantae, Streptophyta, Magnoliopsida, Asterales, Asteraceae.
UUAUUUUUUAUUUUUUAAAAAUGAAAAGACUCGUUCAAGAUUUUUUUAAAAGCUAAGGUUGCAAGUCAUUUAUGCAUAAAUCAAAGACCAUAUAUUGUGGAACGCUCAAAUUUCAAACUUUCCGAGGUCUACGCCAGUCAAAUGGGAACUUAUAAAGAUCGCACCCCUUCCCCCAACUAGGCGCCUAUCCCUCGAAUCUGCGUCGGCUUCCCAUAUAUAUGUUGUCUCACCACUUGGAGAACCUAAAAUAUAUCCCUGCUUCUUAUUUUUCAACCUUGUUGUUACUUCCCCCCAACACCACCAUGGCACCAGUCGUCUCUCUCUAAAAACUCAAGACGCCUACACACAUAAUCGCACCUGGCCAAGUUUUGUUUUAAAACUCACGCAAAUUAGCAACAACCACCGGACCCUCAUCCCGGUGACACCCUUAAAUCCAUCCCCUUUUGCUCUCAAUCAGUCCCCUUUCUCUCAAUCAAUCCCCUAUAAACCCCCUUCUCUCGAUCCUUUUCAGAUACAUUUCCUGUUUUGAAGCCAUAAUUAUCUUCAUUGGUUUUGAAGGAUUAAAAUAGGAGAACGAGGGAAAUGGAACGAGGAAUGGGAGAUGAAGAAACACCGUAAUGAAGGUUUAAUGAAGGUUUCAAGAAAUACAAGUGUCAAUGGGUACUAGAUGCUUCUAAAUACAUGUAAAUUUUAUGCAUAUUGUGAAGUUCCACAAGCAUUAGGGUCACUUUCUCUUCACUAAUUGCAAGUAGUCAAGUUCUUACAAGCAAUGCUCAUAAACAAUGACCUCCACCUGUUGGAUGAAAUGUAUGGGAAAUCAGUUGAAGUCCAUACUUCAAACAAGGACCUCCACCUACAACUGGACUCCUACAGACUCCAGUUGAAUCUUUUGUCAAGAUAGGGACAUUAGCAAUUAUAAUUUUACAGAAUAUGUAUAUGUCAUCAUCUAAUUGAGUCAUUUUCUUGGUGAAAAUGUAGGCAUGGAAAAAGACAAUGGUAAGUAUAAGCAAUACCCUUUGUUCCUCUA